GAUACCGGGUUGGGCUGUUUCGGGUACAAUGUUUUCAAAUCUUAUUCAUCAGUAUAAGGAAAUUAGAGUUGCUUUCGUCUUGAAUUAUUUUGUAGUAGCUAUAAUAUCUAAAGGGAAAAGUCUUAUACACACUUUCUAUGUUGCUUUUUGACCUUUAGAAGAACAAAUAGAUGAAAGACUCAGGAAGACUAGACUAGUAUUGCGUGUUGAAACAAAUAAGGCAUGGCAUGGACCUCCUUGCAGAAGUAGGAAAAGAAAUAUCUUUAUUUGAUCUUGAGAGAGGAUAGAACUUUUCAAACUCUCCCCUCUUUUGUGCCACAAACGUCUUAUGUAGUUUCCUCUGCAUUUCUAGCUUAGCGUAGUUAUAGGCAGGUUCUAAUAAAUAUAAUGAGAACCAGAAUGUGAAGAACAUCAGAAAGGGUCCUUACUGUAAACUUUUAUUUCUUUUUCUCUUAUUUCACACUUCUUUUAUAGUGUGUCUAUUUCUUUUCACUUCUCUGUAUGUCUCUGUGAAGAGAUGUUUCUAUAGACCCCAUGCUUGCGAAAGCAAUUACAUUAGCAGUAGAUUGGUACAAACUGUAUAACUAGAAGUAGAACAUGGGGUACACGUGUUUGUAACAGUACAUGUAUGUUAUGAAUUCUGUGACUAGAUUUGUAAUUGACCAAAUGCACUAUGCUUCAUCUAAUGUCAGAGAGAGGCGGAACGUUUAUUCUGAACUACAUACAUCGCCAGCUAGGGACAAACAAAAGGUAGUAGCCAGAUUGGAGAGCAAAUAAGACAGAAUCUGAUAUUACUGCACUUUAUGUGGGAUUUUUAUUGUUGUAAAUCUUAAAUCUUUACAGUUCAAGUAAUUGUUGAAGCAAGUGAUGCUGAGAAAUGGGUCUGGACGAGAUCUAAAACUGUUCAAGAGGAUUUGGGAUUUGAUUUUGAGUUACCAACCCUUCCAUCCAAUUGUAGUUAUAGUGUCACGUCACAGUAACAGAUUUGGUGACACAACCUACGCAUGGCUUCAGAUUACUGUUCAGUUCAGAACAAACUUUUGUUCUCUUAUGCUGCCUGCAGUAUAGGUGACAUAGUGACUUUCAUCUGCUUUUGCAGAUAAGAUGUUGUAAAAGUAACCCUUUAUGGUUACUGAGGACAACUAAGAAAAGAAUACUUGUUGCUGAUCCCCCCCCCCCCCCCAAAGAGGUUCAGAUAGAGAAACACAUUAAGCAUGAUAGUAAGCCUUAUACGCAGGUACAAAUACAUUCACUUAAAAAUUGCAUAACUACUGCCAAUUUGGGAAUAUCAUAGAAGUCAAUAGCAAAAUCUAGCAACAUUUAGUAGAGUAUAUCAUCUUCCUCCUUAUAAAUCAUCCCAUUAUAUUGUGGAGAAUCCAAUCUAAUUUAUACUCUUGAGAGAUUGUUAAGGUCGUGGUUGAAUUAUUUGUUUGUUUAAGUUCUUCUAGCAAUACUUUUUUGCAGACGAACUAUGUUCAUUCCUGUCUUAAACUAUUCUUAAUGGCUAGAUGACAGGUCAAACUCUAUAAUCAUUCAAGGAGAAACAGAAACCGAUGAACAAGUAUGUGAUCCAAUGUCAUUUUUGGACAUGCACAAAUCAUAAUGUGGUGUAAUAACAAGGAACAACAUACAGUGCUAGGUAUAUAUAAUUCAUAUGUUGUUACAAAAUGUAAAAUCUGUAAAUCGGCAUGGAAAUAUAUUCCUUACUUGUAUAGCUAACAAAAUCAUAUGAGUUUUGAUUUGUUUACUUUGGUAGAG
RNAcentral lists this long non-coding RNA (1758 nucleotides) under Nicotiana tabacum (common tobacco). RNAcentral describes it as "long non-coding RNA (NTAB_LNC002509)". Lineage: Eukaryota; Viridiplantae; Streptophyta; Magnoliopsida; Solanales; Solanaceae. The record is from RNAcentral.